UGCGUAGGCGGGAGAAUAAGUCAGUGGUGAAAUCCUGCAGCUUAACUGUAGAACUGCCAUUGAUACUGUUUUUCUUGAGUAUAGUUGAGGUAGGCGGAAUGUGUAAUGUAGCGGUGAAAUGCUUAGAUAUUACACAGAACACCGAUUGCGUAGGCAGCUUACUAAGCUAUUACUGACGCUCAGGCACGAAAGCGUGGGGAGCGAACAGGAUUAGAUACCCUGGUAGUCC
RNAcentral lists this ribosomal RNA (229 nucleotides) under uncultured bacterium. RNAcentral describes it as "partial 16S ribosomal RNA". It matches the Rfam family "Bacterial small subunit ribosomal RNA", at positions 568 to 796 of the family's 1533-position model. The record is from RNAcentral.